AUAAAGUUUUAUUCUGGCUUUGAAUUUAGUUAGUUAUUUCUUGUAUAUGUAAAUUUUUAUUUAAAUAGUUAUGUUAGGCAGUACAAAGUUUUAAGUUUUAAAUUAGUUUAGACUUAGAAAUAUAUUUUAGUAUAAACCAAACUUGUGCCAGCAGUUGCGGUUAUACAAGUUAUGCAAAUUAAAUUUAUUUGGAUCAGUUAAGAGUUAUUUUAUUAAUUUAAAUAUAAAUCUAUUAGGUGAAAUUUUAGAUUUUGAUUUGAUUAAUAAUGAAUAUAGGUUUUGAGGCUGGGAAAUUUUUUAACAAACUAGGAUUAGAUACCCUAUUAUAUAAAAUGUAAUUGGUUAACCAAAAUUAGUAUUAGUAUAUGUUCUUGAAAAUUAAAGAUUUUGGCGGUAUUUUAGUCAUUUCAGAGGAACCUGUUUUAUAAAUGAUACUCCACGAUUAAAUUAACCUUAGUUUUAAGUUUGUAUAUCGUCGUAGUUUGAAUAUUUUAUUAGAACGUUAAUGUUCAAGUAUUUUAAUUAAACUAGAAUUCAGAUCAAGGUGCAGUUUAUAUUAAGGUAAAAAUGGGUUACAUUAUUUUUAUAUUUGGUUUUAGCUUUAUAAAGGUUAAAUAAAUUGGAUUUGAAAGUAAUUUUUAUUAUAUAAUAGUAAUGAUUUUGCUCUAAGAUAUGCACAUAUCGCCCGUCGCUUUCGUUUAAGAUGAAAUAAGUCGUAACAAAGUAGGUUUAUUGGAAAAUGAGUCUGGAAUGAC
Molecule: non-coding RNA, 755 nt
Filed under: Tenebrionoidea sp. 17 KM-2017
Lineage: Eukaryota; Metazoa; Arthropoda; Insecta; Coleoptera
Source: RNAcentral